UGUCGCAAGCCCAGACCGGCAACCCUCUGGGUAACCAGGUUUCCCAGAGUCUAAGCAGAGAGGUCCAUAACACAUGGAGAGAAGUGAAGUCCCCUGAGGAUGUGAGGGAUGGCUCACAGUGAAGUUCCCUCAUUAGUAUCUCCCUGCUACACUCCUAGCUCUCUCCUGCACUCUACCUGAGUGUGAGAGAUGGCCUGCAGUGCAGUUCCCACAGGCCUAAGUUUCCUUCCUCCUGAAAGCCUUGAGUUCAGUUUGCAUUUUCCCCAAAAGUUUCUAUUUCUCCAGCACCAGGUCAGCAUGGGUGGGGGAGCUUGGUUGCCUGGUUGCUCCUAGCUCCUAGUGCACAUGUGCAUCUAGUCCAAACACGGGCAUAUUUGCUUCUAUUGGGUAUUAGUUGCUACUUUUAGAAUGUACACCCUGAGUACCCAGUCAAAGGAGAAAGGGGUAAGAGAGUGAGAGGGGGCAUCGCGUUAGGGGAUAAAAAGCCCAGGGUACAGCUCCCAACUCAUACUCUCCUGGCUGGCAAUGGUGACUAGUGGCGGUACCCUUUCUCAUGAGAAAGCAAUAAACUCCUUUCUGCUUUCAAGGUAUCUUUCAAGUCUUUGUUUUUAUUUUGAGUGGGUGGUCUCUGUCCCACACAGUUGGGGGCUCUCUGGGAUCCCCUUUACUUGGGAAAGGGCCUCCCAGCCAGUCCUAGGACAGGCCCCCACUGGCCACUUACCAGUAGUCUGUGGAGUGGUUUGGGAGUUUCCUUUCCCUUUUAAGGAAUGGACCCGAAGAAAGACAGAUACCUGCAAGCAGAAACAAAAGCAAACAGAGUUCCAACGGUGCUAGCAAAGACAGUAGACAGAGAGAAGAGAGAGAACUGAGUUUUGGACGAUCACAUAAGUUGUGCGCACAUAACCCAGACGAAAGAUCCAGGGAGCCCUGAGAUACUUUUUGGAGCAAGAUCUGCAUGGUCAGUAUGGAGUGUGUCGCCUGCCCUUUUAAAGUGCUACCUAUGGUGUGGAGAGGAAAUUGCUUCAAUGGGCGCUUCAUAAAUGCUGCUUGACUUAACUUCACAGUUGAACUAACUACCUGUGCUGCUAGGAUCCAAGAAGAGAGAACCAGUGACAACAGGAGUGUGAUAUCUUGACUUGUGAGUGAAUUAGAUUCAAGUGAGACAGAACUGUGCAAAGUCUUCAGCUCCACUCUCUGCUCCAGAGUUGUCAGAGUCCAGGGCAAGAGACAGGUCAGCACCGCUGGAGGUGGCCCCAGCUGCAGUGGGAAACCCUCGGAAUUUCCAGCCGGAAUCGAAGGUGCCCAGUAAGUGAGGGUAGGCUUUGACAGUUAAAACAAGUGAUAUCUGAAAGCAAUAACAUCAGUCAUUGACAUCUUUGUUCUAAUUAAGCAGUUCCUGAGCCCAAAAUCUUGCCAGUUAUGCAAAAUUUGCUGAAUGAGAAGGGACAAAUGUAUAAUACAAUGUAGGGAUAAUGUAAUCUAAACUGGGAUUUUGUCU
Molecule: long non-coding RNA, 1498 nt
Organism: Phascolarctos cinereus (koala)
Lineage: Eukaryota; Metazoa; Chordata; Mammalia; Diprotodontia; Phascolarctidae
Source: RefSeq, a predicted model, not a curated record